ACGGCGAGUGAAAGGGGAGAAGCUCAGCGUGUAGCCUCGGGGAUGCCCUCCAAGCGAGUGUGUUAAUCCUACGAUGGGAUGCCACGUAUGGGAGAAUACUAGAAGAGUCUGCGACCCGGCAAUCCGAACUGUUUGAUGAAACAUUGCCCAGAGAGGGUGUUAGGCCCGUAGGACCGUUGUUGUCGCGACUUUUCGCGGUGUUCUCUCGAGAGUCGGGUUGUUUGAGAAUACAGCCUUAAGAGGUGGGAAACUCCAUCUAAAGCUAAAUAUUACUGCGAGACCGAUAGCGAACAAGUACCGUGAGGGAAAGUUGAAAAGGACUCUGAAGAGAGGGUUAAAGAGAGCGUGAAACUGCCACGGGGAUAAAGCGGAUACAUUAGCGUAGUCGAACGGGGAGAUACAGCUCGUUCGCCGUCGACCUCUCGGCGCGUUUUUGUUCUUAGGGAAUUACCCCGAACACGUUCGCGCGUUUCGGUUCUUGGUUCCUCUAGACGACGCGUCAGUAAGCGUACGUUCACGAACGAGUCUAAUUCACACCUUAGUAGGCCGUCGCGACGGUUGGAAGGUUGUCUAAGGCUUGGAAGGUCACGGGAACCUUUCGUUAGCGAGUCUGGUUUCUUCGGGAACCUUCUCGUCGACGAAGGGGGACGCUUCCUCGAAUUUACUGGCGGACUUUCCGACCGGAGAAAUAAACGUUGCGUCUCUCUUUCAUAGAGAGAGUGAACGUAAGUGCGGCGCUCGUAGCGAACAAUUUAUCCGUCCCGUCUUGAAACACGGACCAAGGAGUCUAACAUGUACGCGAGUCAAAGGGCUCACUAAACCCCUAGGCGUAAUGAAAGUAAAUACGGAUUGAUCCGUGCUCUUUUUUAUUAAAGACCGGCGCAAAUCCGGGACCCGUCUUACUGCUCUUCGUUCGCGUUGAGUUCACGUGGCGGGUACCUCGAGCGUACAUGUUGGUACCCGAAAGAUGGUGAUCUAUGCUUGGCCGGGAUGAAGCCAGAGGA
Molecule: ribosomal RNA, 1004 nt
Filed under: Eurycope sp. MB I31
Lineage: Eukaryota; Metazoa; Arthropoda; Malacostraca; Isopoda; Munnopsidae
Description: eukaryotic LSU rRNA
Rfam family: Eukaryotic large subunit ribosomal RNA
Source: RNAcentral